This is a long non-coding RNA of Hydractinia symbiolongicarpus, 506 nucleotides long. RefSeq lists it as uncharacterized. NCBI's taxonomy places the organism in Eukaryota, Metazoa, Cnidaria, Hydrozoa, Anthoathecata, Hydractiniidae. The record is from RefSeq and is a predicted model, not a curated record. The transcript is spliced from 2 exons.
CUUUUUUUCUGAAAGAAAUUGGUCCUCGGAAAUGACCUUUCACAAGACUUCAUAAAUCGGGCACCAGUCCCAAAUUGUUCUAUGAUACAAAACAUGUUGGCACGAUUUCAUUGAAGUAAUUUUGACCCAAUAAUUCACAAUUUCAAGCGUCAUUCAAACGUGAUUUGCAUGUGAAGAUUUGUUGAAAGAAGAUGGAACAAUGAUGAAACAGAAGAGCUUGCUGAUUUGCUCGAUUACCACUUUUUGUUGGAUGCGUUUGAAAUAAGAAUAUAUUCGUUAAAUCCAGAGUAUGAAUACUUGUAAUAGUCUAAUUUUUAAAGUAUUUUUAUAUAAUUCAGAUUGACUUUCGUGGUGAAAAAUCUCACAAUUAGGGAAUGGUCUAGGCUGAAAUGUCUGUGUAAAUGGUUAGCUUUUUCGUUUAACAUAUAUAUAGCUAUAUAACUGUACAAUUUUUUUCAUUUGCAAUCAUUUGCUAGUCUAACAACAACAACAACAAUAAUGAUAAA